CCUAGAUGAAAUUGAAAAAAUGAUGAAUGCCUCCUGGUGGGGACAUGGAGGUACAAGUAACAAAGGGUUUCAUUGGUUAUCUUGGGAAAAGUUAUCGGUGCACAAAAACCAUGGAAGUAUGGAUUUCAAAGAUUUGGUAGCUUUUAAUGUUGCAAUGCUUGGAAAAACGGGCUGGAAACUACAAACUGAUUCAGAUAGUUUAGUUUCAAGAAUUUUUAAAGUCGAGUAUUACCCUAAUAGUAGCUACCUGGAGUCGAAGUGGGACAUAAUCCAAGCUUUGUUUGGCGUAGCAUUUUCAGUGCCAAGGUGGUUGUUAGACAAGGUUCCCGUUGGAAAAUUGGGUAAUAAUAAGACUUGUUUUGGCCAGUGCGCAUACGCAUGAGCUGGAUUAAUCGCCCAUUAUUAAUGAGUCGGAAACCGGUACGAAAGCCAAAACAAUAAAAUAAUAAGACUUGCUAAGCUAAUGUACAGUUUUUUAAGUGAAUUUUCUGUGAUAAGAACAUCCUAAUGUGAAGCGUGGGAGUUAUUCAGGCUUGGGAAGUCCAAAAUAUUAAACUUUUUUUUUUUUUUAUUGAAUGUAAGUUAAGGUUAAGCUUUAUCUUGAUUGAUUUUAUUAUUAUUUUUGAACUCUCCAAAAAAAAAAUGGUUGAAUUAGUGUAUUGGGGGUUAUCACAAAAUUUGUAUAAGAUGUUUUUAGAAGUACACCCAAUAAAAUUGUCAUUGUUUAGAGUUUUUAAAAUGAAUGAAGUCAAAUUCAGG
This 759-nucleotide long non-coding RNA is filed under the name Medicago truncatula (barrel medic). RNAcentral's name for it is "lncRNA gene10423". The record is from RNAcentral. Lineage: Eukaryota; Viridiplantae; Streptophyta; Magnoliopsida; Fabales; Fabaceae.